Molecule: non-coding RNA, 438 nt
Organism: Clupea harengus (Atlantic herring)
Lineage: Eukaryota; Metazoa; Chordata; Actinopteri; Clupeiformes; Clupeidae
Source: the annotation of a RefSeq genome assembly
AUGAUGAAGAUACGGACAGGCUGCACUUUUGCACCGCACAGCAACAUCUUCUCUCCUGAAGUCAAGAUCCUUCGUCCAACCAAGACGGAGGCUUCUCCCAGUGUCCCAACAUCACUGGUUUGUGUGGUCAGCAAAUAUUACCCUGACCACGUGACUGUGAGCUGGCUGGUGGACGGACAGGUGGCCAAAGGGGACAAACAGGACAGCCAGUCGGUGCGUGCGUCUGACAAGACCUACAGCAUGAGCAGCACCCUGUGGCUCCCGCAGGCUGACUGGGAGGCUGCCAAGAGCUUCACCUGUCAGGUCCAACAUGAGAGCCUGAAGAGCCCUGCUACCAACACACUCAGCAAGAGCCAGUGUGAGUAGCCAGGAGCCCAGAGCCAGUACCACACACACACACACACACACACACACACACACACACACACACACACACAC